GAUGAACGCUAGCUACAGGCUUAACACAUGCAAGUCGAGGGGCAGCAUGGUCUUAGCUUGCUAAGGCCGAUGGCGACCGGCGCACGGGUGAGUAACGCGUAUCCAACCUUCCCUAUAGUAGGGGAUAGCCCGUAGAAAUGCGGAUUAAUACCCUAUGUUGUAUUUUGAUGACAUCUGACGAAUACCAAAGGUUUACCGCUAUAGGAUGGGGAUGCGUCUGAUUAGGUUGUUGGCGGGGUAACGGCCCACCAAGCCUGCGAUCAGUAGGGGUUCUGAGAGGAAGGUCCCCCACAUUGGAACUGAGACACGGUCCAAACUCC
This 320-nucleotide ribosomal RNA is filed under the name uncultured Prevotella sp. Its description in RNAcentral is "bacterial SSU rRNA". It matches the Rfam family "Bacterial small subunit ribosomal RNA", at positions 28 to 339 of the family's 1533-position model. The record is from RNAcentral. Lineage: Bacteria; Pseudomonadati; Bacteroidota; Bacteroidia; Bacteroidales; Prevotellaceae.